The sequence is a transfer RNA, 76 nucleotides long. It matches the Rfam family "tRNA". Rfam says of the family: Transfer RNA (tRNA) molecules are approximately 80 nucleotides in length.
UCCCUUGUCGUCUAAUCCGGCAGGACGCGCGGCUCUGGUCCGCGUAAUCGAGGUUCGAGUCCUCGCAAGGGAGCCA